This 497-nucleotide ribosomal RNA is filed under the name uncultured bacterium. RNAcentral's name for it is "partial 16S ribosomal RNA". It matches the Rfam family "Bacterial small subunit ribosomal RNA", at positions 28 to 507 of the family's 1533-position model. The record is from RNAcentral.
GAUGAACGCUGGCGGCGUGCCUAAUACAUGCAAGUCGAGCGAACAGACGAGGAGCUUGCUCCUCUGACGUUAGCGGCGGACGGGUGAGUAACACGUGGAUAACCUACCUAUAAGACUGGGAUAACUUCGGGAAACCGGAGCUAAUACCGGAUAAUAUAUUGAACCGCAUGGUUCAAUAGUGAAAGACGGUUUUGCUGUCACUUAUAGAUGGAUCCGCGCCGCAUUAGCUAGUUGGUAAGGUAACGGCUUACCAAGGCAACGAUGCGUAGCCGACCUGAGCGGGUGAUCGGCCACACGGGAACUGAGACACGGUCCAGACUCCUACGGGAGGCAGCAGUAGGGAAUCUUCCGCAAUGGGCGAAAGCCUGACGGAGCAACGCCGCGUGAGUGAUGAAGGUCUUCGGAUCGUAAAACUCUGUUAUUAGGGAAGAACAAAUGUGUAAGUAACUAUGCACGUCUUGACGGUACCUAAUCAGAAAGCCACGGCUAACUACGUG